AACGAACGCUGGCGGCAUGCCUAACACAUGCAAGUCGAACGAGACCUUCGGGUCUAGUGGCGCACGGGUGCGUAACGCGUGGGAACCUGCCCUUAGGUUCGGAAUAACUCCCCGAAAGGGGUGCUAAUACCGGAUAAUGUCUUCGGACCAAAGAUUUAUCGCCUUUGGAUGGGCCCGCGUUGGAUUAGCUAGUUGGUAGGGUAAAAGCCUACCAAGGCGACGAUCCAUAGCUGGCCUGAGAGGAUGAUCAGCCACACUGGGACUGAGACACAGCCCAGACUCCUACGGGAGGCAGCAGUGGGGAAUAUUGGACAAUGGGCGAAAGCCUGAUCCAGCAAUGCCGCGUGAGUGAUGAAGGCCUUAGGGUUGUAAAGCUCUUUUACCCGGGAUGAUAAUGACAGUACCGGGAGAAUAAGCUCCGGCUAACCCCGUG
Molecule: ribosomal RNA, 433 nt
Filed under: uncultured bacterium
Lineage: Bacteria
Description: partial 16S ribosomal RNA
Rfam family: Bacterial small subunit ribosomal RNA
Source: RNAcentral